GACGAACGCUGGCGGCGUGCCUAAUACAUGCAAGUAGAACGCUGAAGGAGGAGCUUGCUUCUCUGGAUGAGUUGCGAACGGGUGAGUAACGCGUAGGUAACCUGCCUGGUAGCGGGGGAUAACUCUUGGAAACGAUAGCUAAUACCGCAUAAGAGUAGAUGUCGCAUGACAUUUUCUUAAAAGUUGCAAUUGCAUCACUACCAGAUGGACCUGCGUUGUAUUAGCUAGUUGGUGAGGUAACGGCUCACCAAGGCAACGAUACAUAGCCGACCUGAGAGGGUGGUCGGCCACACUGGGACUGAGACACGGCCCAGACUCCUACGGGAGGCAGCCGUAGGGAAUCUUCGGCAAUGGACGGAAGUCUGACCGAGCAACGCCGCGUGAGUGAAGAAGGUUGUCGGAUCGUAAAGCUCUGUUGUAAGAGAAGAACGAGUGUGAGAGUGGAAAGUUCACACUGUGACGGUAUCUUACCAGAAAGGGACGGCUAACUACGUG
Molecule: ribosomal RNA, 495 nt
Filed under: uncultured bacterium
Lineage: Bacteria
Description: partial 16S ribosomal RNA
Rfam family: Bacterial small subunit ribosomal RNA
Source: RNAcentral